RNAcentral lists this transfer RNA (90 nucleotides) under Roseomonas sp. RNAcentral's name for it is "tRNA-Ser". It matches the Rfam family "tRNA". Rfam says of the family: Transfer RNA (tRNA) molecules are approximately 80 nucleotides in length. Their secondary structure includes four short double-helical elements and three loops (D, anti-codon, and T loops). Lineage: Bacteria; Pseudomonadati; Pseudomonadota; Alphaproteobacteria; Acetobacterales; Roseomonadaceae. The record is from RNAcentral. RNAcentral also lists the same sequence under 3 other names.
GGAUGGGUGGCCGAGUGGUUUAAGGCAGCGGUCUUGAAAACCGCCGUAGGGGCAACUCUACCGUGGGUUCGAAUCCCACCCCAUCCGCCA